GAUGAACGCUGGCGGCGUGCCUAAUACAUGCAAGUCGAGCGAACAGACGAGGAGCUUGCUCCUCUGACGUUAGCGGCGGACGGGUGAGUAACACGUGGAUAACCGACCUAUAAGACUGGGAUAACUUCGGGAAACCGGAGCUAAUACCGGAUAAUAUAUUGAACCGCAUGGUUCAAUAGUGAAAGACGGUUUUGCUGUCACUUAUAGAUGGAUCCGCGCCGCAUUAGCUAGUUGGUAAGGUAACGGCUUACCAAGGCAACGAUGCGUAGCCGACCUGAGAGGGUGAUCAGCCACACUGGAACUGAGACACGGUCCAGACUCCUACGGGAGGCAGCAGUAGGGAAUCUUCCGCAAUGGGCGAAAGCUUGACGGAGCAACGCCGCGUGAGUGAUGAAGGUCUUCGGAUCGUAAAACUCUGUUAUUAGGGAAGAACAAAUGUGUAAGUAACUAUGCACGUCUUGACGGUACCUAAUCAGAAAGCCACGGCUAACUACGUG
RNAcentral lists this ribosomal RNA (497 nucleotides) under uncultured bacterium. RNAcentral describes it as "partial 16S ribosomal RNA". It matches the Rfam family "Bacterial small subunit ribosomal RNA", at positions 28 to 507 of the family's 1533-position model. The record is from RNAcentral.